Molecule: ribosomal RNA, 533 nt
Filed under: uncultured bacterium
Lineage: Bacteria
Description: bacterial SSU rRNA
Rfam family: Bacterial small subunit ribosomal RNA
Source: RNAcentral
GGGGAAUAUUGCACAAUGGGCGCAAGCCUGAUGCAGCGACGCCGCGUGGGGGAUGAAGGCCUUCGGGUUGUAAACUCCUUUCGCUAGGGACGAAGCUUUUUGGUGACGGUACCUAGAUAAGAAGCACCGGCUAACUACGUGCCAGCAGCCGCGGUAAUACGUAGGGUGCGAGCGUUGUCCGGAAUUACUGGGCGUAAAGGGCUCGUAGGUGGUUUGUCGCGUCGUCUGUGAAAUUCUGGGGCUUAACUCCGGGCGUGCAGGCGAUACGGGCAUAACUUGAGUGCUGUAGGGGUAACUGGAAUUCCUGGUGUAGCGGUGAAAUGCGCAGAUAUCAGGAGGAACACCGAUGGCGAAGGCAGGUUACUGGGCAGUUACUGACGCUGUGGAGCGAAAGCAUGGGUAGCGAACAGGAUUAGAUACCCUGGUAGUCCAUGCCGUAAACGGUGGGCGCUAGGUGUGAGGGUCUUUCUACGACUUUCGUGCCGUAGCUAACGCAUUAAGCGCCCCGCCUGGGGAGUACGGCCGCAAGGCUA